RNAcentral lists this ribosomal RNA (253 nucleotides) under uncultured bacterium. Its description in RNAcentral is "partial 16S ribosomal RNA". It matches the Rfam family "Bacterial small subunit ribosomal RNA", at positions 524 to 776 of the family's 1533-position model. The record is from RNAcentral.
UACAGAGGUCUCAAGCGUUGUUCGGAUUCAUUGGGCGUAAAGGGUGCGUAGGUGGCGCGGUAAGUCGGGGGUGAAAUCUCGGAGCUUAACUCCGAAAUUGCAUUCGAUACUGCCGUGCUCGAGGACUGGAGAGGAGACUGGAAUUCAUGGUGUAGCAGUGAAAUGCGUAGAGAUCAUGAGGAAGACCAGUGGCGAAGGCGGGUCUCUGGACAGUUCCUGACACUGAGGCACGAAGGUCAGGGGAGCAAACGGG